Molecule: ribosomal RNA, 475 nt
Filed under: uncultured bacterium
Lineage: Bacteria
Description: bacterial SSU rRNA
Rfam family: Bacterial small subunit ribosomal RNA
Source: RNAcentral
AGAGACGACGCUGGCGGCGUGCCUAACACAUGCAAGUCGAGCGGAGAUACAUUGAAGAUUUAUCGGAUAUGUAUCUUAGCGGCGGACGGGUGAGUAACGCGUGGGUAACCUGCCUUAUACAGGGGGAUAACACAGGGAAACUUGUGCUAAUACCGCAUAAUAUCAUUGUAUGGCAUCAUGUGAUGAUCAAAGGAGCAAUCCGGUAUAAGAUGGACCCGCGUCCAAUUAGCUAGUUGGUGGUGUAACGGACCACCAAGGCGACGAUUGGUAGCCGAACUGAGAGGUUGAUCGGCCACAUUGGGACUGAGACACGGCCCAGACUCCUACGGGAGGCAGCAGUGGGGAAUAUUGCACAAUGGGGGAAACCCUGAUGCAGCAACGCCGCGUGAAGGAUGAAGGUUUUCGGAUCGUAAACUUCUUUGAUGAGGGACGAAUAAUGACGGUACCUCAAGAACAAGCCACGGCUAACUACGUG